This 497-nucleotide ribosomal RNA is filed under the name uncultured bacterium. RNAcentral describes it as "partial 16S ribosomal RNA". It matches the Rfam family "Bacterial small subunit ribosomal RNA", at positions 28 to 507 of the family's 1533-position model. The record is from RNAcentral.
GACGAACGCUGGCGGCGUGCCUAAUACAUGCAAGUUGAGCGAUGAAGAUUGGUGCUUGCACCAAUUUGAAGAGCAGCGAACGGGUGAGUAACGCGUGGGGAAUCUGCCUUUGAGCGGGGGACAACAUUUGGAAACGAAUGCUAAUACCGCAUAACAACUUUAAACAUAAGUUUUAAGUUUGAAAGGUGCAAUUGCAUCACUCAAAGAUGAUCCCGCGUUGUAUUAGCUAGUUGGUGAGGUAAAGGCUCACCAAGGCGAUGAUACAUAGCCGACCUGAGAGGGUGAUCGGCCACAUUGGGACUGAGACACGGCCCAAACGCCUACGGGAGGCAGCAGUAGGGAAUCUUCGGCAAUGGACGAAAGUCUGACCGAGCAACGCCGCGUGAGUGAAGAAGGUUUUCGGAUCGUAAAACUCUGUUGGUAGAGAAGAACGUUGGUGAGAGUGGAAAGCUCAUCAAGUGACGGUAACUACCCAGAAAGGGACGGCUAACUACGUG